AAGUCGUAACAAGGUUUCCGUAGGUGAACCUGCGGAAGGAUCAUUAUUGAAAUAAACCUGAUGGGUUGUUGCUGGUUCUCUAGGGAGCAUGUGCACGCCUUGUCAUCUUUAUAUCUCCACCUGUGCACCUUUUGUAGACCUUUCAGGUCUAUGUUUGCUUCAUUUACCCCAUUGUAUGUUAAUAGAAUGUUGUGCCUAUAUAAUAUAUACAACUUUCAGCAACGGAUCUCUUGGCUCUC
Molecule: unclassified non-coding RNA, 239 nt
Filed under: Cortinarius sp.
Lineage: Eukaryota; Fungi; Basidiomycota; Agaricomycetes; Agaricales; Cortinariaceae
Description: partial internal transcribed spacer region
Rfam family: Eukaryotic small subunit ribosomal RNA (bases 1-46)
Source: RNAcentral